Molecule: ribosomal RNA, 167 nt
Filed under: uncultured bacterium
Lineage: Bacteria
Description: partial 16S ribosomal RNA
Rfam family: Bacterial small subunit ribosomal RNA
Source: RNAcentral
GCUAGUAAUGGCAGGUCAGCAUACUGCCGUGAAUACGUUCCCGGGCCUUGUACACACCGCCCGUCACACCAUGAGAGUUGGGAAUACCCGAAGCCUGUGAGCUAACAUUUAUGAGGCAGCAGUCGAAGGUAGAAUCAAUGAUUGGGGUGAAGUCGUAACAAGGUAGC